AAUCAACGCUGGCGGCGUGCCUCAGACAUGCAAGUCGAACGCGAAAGUCCCCUUCGGGGGACAAGUAGAGUGGCGCACGGGUGAGUAACACGUAGGUAAUCCACCUUCGGAUGGGGAAGUAACAACCGGAAACGGUUGCUAAUACCGCAUAAUGCAGCGGCACCUAAUGGUGACAGUUGUUAAAGCGGGGGGAUCGAAAGACCUCGCGUCUGAAGAGGAGCCUGCGGCGGAUUAGCAGUUGGUAAGGUAACGGCUUACCAAGGCGACGAUCCGUAGCCGCCUGAGAGGGGCGGUCGGCCACACUGACACUGACAUACGGGUCAGACUCCUACGGGGAGGCAGCAGUCGGGAAUUUUGGGCAAUGGGCGAAAGCCUCGACCCAGCAACGCCGCGUGAAGGAUG
Molecule: ribosomal RNA, 402 nt
Filed under: uncultured bacterium
Lineage: Bacteria
Description: bacterial SSU rRNA
Rfam family: Bacterial small subunit ribosomal RNA
Source: RNAcentral